This 482-nucleotide ribosomal RNA is filed under the name uncultured bacterium. RNAcentral describes it as "bacterial SSU rRNA". It matches the Rfam family "Bacterial small subunit ribosomal RNA", at positions 30 to 507 of the family's 1533-position model. The record is from RNAcentral.
AUUGAACGCUGGCGGCAUGCCUUACACAUGCAAGUCGAACGGUAACAGGUCUUCGGAUGCUGACGAGUGGCGAACGGGUGAGUAAUACAUCGGAACGUGCCCGAUCGUGGGGGAUAACGCAGCGAAAGCUGUGCUAAUACCGCAUACGAUCUACGGAUGAAAGCGGGGGAUCGCAAGACCUCGCGCGAUUGGAGCGGCCGAUAUCAGAUUAGCUAGUUGGUGGGGUAAAAGCUCACCAAGGCGACGAUCUGUAGCUGGUCUGAGAGGACGACCAGCCACACUGGAACUGAGACACGGUCCAGACUCCUACGGGAGGCAGCAGUGGGGAAUUUUGGACAAUGGGCGCAAGCCUGAUCCAGCAAUGCCGCGUGCAGGAUGAAGGCCUUCGGGUUGUAAACUGCUUUUGUACGGAACGAAACGGUGAGCUCUAAUAAAGAGGGUCCAUGACGGUACCGUAAGAAUAAGCACCGGCUAACUACGUG